Molecule: ribosomal RNA, 406 nt
Filed under: uncultured bacterium
Lineage: Bacteria
Description: partial 16S ribosomal RNA
Rfam family: Bacterial small subunit ribosomal RNA
Source: RNAcentral
AUUGAACGCUGGCGGCAGGCAUAACACAUGCAAGUCGAACGAGUGGCGGACGGGUGAGUAAUGUCUGGGAAACUGCCCGAUGGAGGGGGAUAACUACUGGAAACGGUAGCUAAUAACGCAUACCAUCGGAUGUGCCAAGAUGGGAUUAGCUCGAAGGUGGGGUAACGGCUAACCUAGGCGACGAUCACUAGCUGGUCUGAGAGGAUGACCAGCCACACUGGAACUGAGACACGGUCCAGACUCCUACGGGAGGCAGCAGUGGGUAAGAUUGCACAAUGGGCGCAAGCCUGAUGCAGCCAUGCCGCGUGUAUGAAGAAGGCCUUCGGGUUGUAAAGUACUUUCAGCGAGGAGGCGUUACUCGCAGAAGAAGCACCGGCUAACUCCGUGCCAGCAGCCGCGGUAAUAC